This 375-nucleotide ribosomal RNA is filed under the name bacterium PD109. Its description in RNAcentral is "bacterial SSU rRNA". It matches the Rfam family "Bacterial small subunit ribosomal RNA", at positions 57 to 419 of the family's 1533-position model. The record is from RNAcentral.
GCAGUCGAGCGGCAGCGACUUAACUGAACCUUCGGGGAACGUUAAGGGCGGCGAGCGGCGGACGGGUGAGUAAUGCCUGGGAAUAUGCCCUGAUGUGGGGGAUAACUAUUGGAAACGAUAGCUAAUACCGCAUAAUCUCUUCGGAGCAAAGAGGGGGACCUUCGGGCCUCUCGCGUCAGGAUUAGCCCAGGUGGGAUUAGCUUGUUGGUGAGGUAAUGGCUCACCAAGGCAACGAUCCCUAGCUGGUCUGAGAGGAUGAUCAGCCACACUGGAACUGAGACACGGUCCAGACUCCUACGGGAGGCAGCAGUGGGGAAUAUUGCACAAUGGGGGAAACCCUGAUGCACCCAUGCCGCGUGUAUGAAGAAGGCCUUC